GAAGGUAUAGCUCAGUGGUAGAGUGAGUGCUUAGCAUGCAUGAGGUCCUGAGUUCAAUGCCCAGGACCUCCA
Transfer RNA from Camelus ferus (Wild Bactrian camel), 72 nucleotides. It matches the Rfam family "tRNA". Rfam says of the family: Transfer RNA (tRNA) molecules are approximately 80 nucleotides in length. Their secondary structure includes four short double-helical elements and three loops (D, anti-codon, and T loops). Further hydrogen bonds mediate the characteristic L-shaped molecular structure. tRNAs have two regions of fundamental functional importance: the anti-codon, which is responsible for specific mRNA codon recognition, and the 3' end, to which the tRNAs corresponding amino acid is attached (by aminoacyl-tRNA synthetases). tRNAs cope with the degeneracy of the genetic code in two manners: having more than one tRNA (with a specific anti-codon) for a particular amino acid; and 'wobble' base-pairing, i.e. permitting non-standard base-pairing at the 3rd anti-codon position. The record is from Rfam. Lineage: Eukaryota; Metazoa; Chordata; Mammalia; Artiodactyla; Camelidae.